GCAUUCAAGAUUGAACGCUGGCGGGAUGUGCAGCGCAAAUCAGGGCGGCGGCCUGGAACUUCGGUCUGGUGGCGAGUGGUGAACGGGUGAGUAAUGUAUCGGAACGUGCCCUAGCAGGGAUAACUGCGGCGUAGCUAAUACCGCAUACGCCCUUCUCGGGGAAAGCGGGGACCUUCGGGCCUCGCCAUUCGACGGCGUAAUCGGAUUGGCUAGUUGGUGGGGUAACGGCUCACCAAGGCGACGAUCAUGUGGUUUGAGAGGACGACCAGCCACACAGGACUGAGACACGGCCAGACUCCUGGGGAGGCAGCAGUGGGGAAUUUUGGACAAUGGGAGAGCCGCAGUCAGCCAUCCCGCGUGUGCGAUGAAGGCCUUCGGGUUGUAAAGCACUUUUGGCAGAAGAAACGGCGCAGGAUAAUACCCCGUGCAACUGGCGUGCUACAGAAUAAGCGCCGGCUAUUCGUGCCAGCAGCCGCGGUAAUACGUAGAAUUAUAAGCGGUGUCGGAAUUACUGGGCGUAAAGCGUGCGCAGAGCGGUUCGGAAAGAAAGAAAAUGUGAAAUCCCAGAGCUUAGCUUUGGAACUGCGGCACAACAGGCUGGGGUGUACUGUCGGAGGAGGUGGAAUUCCGCGUGUAGCAGUGAAAUGCGUAGAUGUGCGGAGGAACACCGAUGGCGGGGAAGCAGCCUCCUGGGAUAACACUGACGCUCAUGCACAGAAAGCGUGGGAGCAAACAGGAUUAGAUACCCUGGUAGUCCACGCCUAAACGAUGUCAACUAGCUGUUGGGGCCUUCAGGCCUUGGUGGCCUGAUUAACAGCGUGAAGUUGACCGCCUGGGAGGUACAGAUGUAAGUUAAAACUCAAAGGAAUUGACGGGGACCCGCACAAGCAGUGGAUGGUCUGGUUAAUUUCGAUGCAACGCGAAAAACCUUACCUACCCUUGACAUGUCUGGAAUCCCGAGAUUUGGGAGUGCUCGCAAGGGGAACCGGAACACAGGUGCUGCAUGGCUGUCGUCGGCUCGUGUCGUGAGAUGUUGGGUUGAAGUCCCGCAACGAGCGCAACCCUUGUCAUUAGUUGCUACGAAAGGGCACUCUAAUGAGACUGCCGGUGACAAACCGGAGGAAGGUGGGGAUGACGUCUCAGUCCUCAUGGCCCUUAUGGGUAGGGCUUCACACGUCAUACAAUGGUCAGGACAGAGGAUUCGCCAACCCGCGAGGAGAAUAAUCCCAGAAACCCGAUCGUAGUCGGAUCACAGUCUGCAACUCGACUGCGUGAAGUCGAAUCGCUAGUAAUCGCGGAUCAGCAUGUCGCGGUGGAAUGCGUUCCGGUGCAAUACACACCGCCCGUCACACCAUGGGAGUGGGUUUUACGAAGUAGUUAGCCUAACCGUAAGGAGGGCGAUUACCACGGUGACGGUUAUGUUCAGAGGUGAAGUCAUCGGGGUAA
This 1446-nucleotide ribosomal RNA is filed under the name uncultured Bordetella sp. RNAcentral describes it as "partial 16S-23S ribosomal RNA intergenic spacer". It matches the Rfam family "Bacterial small subunit ribosomal RNA". The record is from RNAcentral. Lineage: Bacteria; Pseudomonadati; Pseudomonadota; Betaproteobacteria; Burkholderiales; Alcaligenaceae.